Molecule: transfer-messenger RNA, 351 nt
Filed under: bacterium
Lineage: Bacteria
Also listed under: 1 other name
Description: B36-G15 sp003645615 Standard tmRNA
Rfam family: transfer-messenger RNA
About the family: Bacterial tmRNA, also known as 10Sa RNA or SsrA, is named for its dual tRNA and mRNA-like properties.
Source: RNAcentral
GGGGGCGAUGGGUUUCGACGGGGUGAUGAUGGUGCCGAGGUGCAUACCGAGGUUCCAGGCCACCUCGUAAAUCCGACCUGGGAAAAACAGUUCCCGCAACGGGAUACGCCCUGGCCGCCUAAGCGAAAGGCGACCACGCCUCCAUCGGUUGAUCCGAUCCGGCCGAUGGCAGGCGGCAUACAGGAUCGGAUAGGUCUGGUGAUGCCUCUAAGCCAGGCUGAAAUAACAGAGGCUGGCAGCGACGGAUCCUGUCUCCCGGAGCCGUGGCUGUAAGAGAAAUGGGAGGCUAAGUAUGUAGGGCCCGUCACCAGAACACCCCGGACGCGGGUUCGAUUCCCGCCGCCUCCAUUU